UUGUAUUGGAAGGGCUCGUCGCC
RNAcentral lists this non-coding RNA (23 nucleotides) under Cricetulus griseus (Chinese hamster). Lineage: Eukaryota; Metazoa; Chordata; Mammalia; Rodentia; Cricetidae. The record is from RNAcentral.